This 1141-nucleotide ribosomal RNA is filed under the name groundwater metagenome. RNAcentral describes it as "bacterial SSU rRNA". It matches the Rfam family "Bacterial small subunit ribosomal RNA", at positions 371 to 1520 of the family's 1533-position model. The record is from RNAcentral.
AUGGGCGGGAGCCUGAACCAGCCAUCCCGCGUGCAGGAAGACGGCCCUAUGGGUUGUAAACUGCUUUUGUGCAGGAAGAAUGUACCCAUCGUGAUGGGUAGUGACGGUACUGCAUGAAUAAGCACCGGCUAACUCCGUGCCAGCAGCCGCGGUAAUACGGAGGGUGCAAGCGUUAUCCGGAUUUAUUGGGUUUAAAGGGUGCGUAGGCGGUGGGAUAAGUCAGUGGUGAAAAUCUGCAGCUCAACUGUAGGGGUGCCAUUGAAACUGUUUUACUUGAGUAACCAUGAGGUAGGCGGAAUGUGUAGUGUAGCGGUGAAAUGCUUAGAUAUUACACAGAACACCGAUUGCGUAGGCAGCUUACUAGCGGUUCACUGACGCUGAUGCACGAAAGCGUGGGGAUCAAACAGGAUUAGAUACCCUGGUAGUCCACGCCGUAAACGAUGAUAACUCGCUGUUGGCGAUACACAGUCAGCGGCUUAGCGAAAGCGUUAAGUUAUCCACCUGGGGAGUACGCUCGCAAGAGUGAAACUCAAAGGAAUUGACGGGGGCCCGCACAAGCGGAGGAACAUGUGGUUUAAUUCGAUGAUACGCGAGGAACCUUACCUGGGCUUAAAUGUGAGACGACCGCUGGUGAAAGCCGGCUUUCCGCAAGGACGACUUACAAGGUGCUGCAUGGUUGUCGUCAGCUCGUGCCGUGAGGUGUCGGGUUAAGUCCCAUAACGAGCGCAACCCUUAUCGUUAGUUGCCAGCGGGUCAAGCCGGGGACUCUAGCGAGACUGCCACCGUAAGGUGUGAGGAAGGUGGGGAUGACGUCAAAUCAGCACGGCCCUUAUGUCCAGGGCUACACACGUGUUACAAUGGCCGAUACAGAGGGCAGCUACCCCGCGAGGGGCCGCUAAUCCGGAAAAGUCGGUCUCAGUUCGGAUCGGAGUCUGCAACCCGACUCCGUGAAGCUGGAUUCGCUAGUAAUCGCAUAUCAGCCAUUAUGCGGUGAAUACGUUCCCGGGCCUUGUACACACCGCCCGUCAAACCAUGGGAGCCGAGGGUACCUGAAGUCUGUGACCGCCAAGGAGCGGCCUAGGGUAAAAUUGGUGACUAGGGUUAAGUCGUAACAAGGUAGCCGUACCGGAAGGUGUGGCUG